GUUUAAACUGCUACAAAUCAGAAGAAAAAAACACUUACAAACAACUCUUCCACUAUAGGUUCUACAAACUAGCAGCUGAUAGAACUUCCGUAGAGUGCAGCCAGUGAGUGAUUCACCAACAAAAGUGGCUAAUGCUGUCACAUUUAUAGUGCUGAAAAGCAAGGACAGAAGUCUCCAAUGAG
Bombina bombina (fire-bellied toad) is the source of this 182-nucleotide long non-coding RNA. RefSeq lists it as uncharacterized. NCBI's taxonomy places the organism in Eukaryota, Metazoa, Chordata, Amphibia, Anura, Bombinatoridae. The transcript has 3 exons. The record is from RefSeq and is a predicted model, not a curated record.